This 497-nucleotide ribosomal RNA is filed under the name uncultured bacterium. Its description in RNAcentral is "partial 16S ribosomal RNA". It matches the Rfam family "Bacterial small subunit ribosomal RNA", at positions 28 to 507 of the family's 1533-position model. The record is from RNAcentral.
GACGAACGCUGGCGGCGUGCCUAAUACAUGCAAGUUGAGCGCUGAAGGUUGGUACUUGUACCAACUGGAUGAGCAGCGAACGGGUGAGUAACGCGUGGGGAAUCUGCCUUUGAGCGGGGGACAACAAUUGGAAACGAAUGCUAAUACCGCAUAAAAACUUUAAACACAAGUUUUAAGUUUGAAAGAUGCAAUUGCAUCACUCAAAGAUGAUCCCGCGUUGUAUUAGCUAGUUGGUGAGGUAAAGGCUCACCAAGGCGAUGAUACAUAGCCGACCUGAGAGGGUGAUCGGCCACAUUGGGACUGAGACACGGCCCAAACUCCUACGGGAGGCAGCAGUAGGGAAUCUUCGGCAAUGGACGAAAGUCUGACCGAGCAACGCCGCGUGAGUGAAGAAGGGUUUCGGAUCGUAAAACUCUGUUGGUAGAGAAGAACGUUGGUGAGAGUGGAAAGCUCAUCAAGUGACGGUAACUACCCAGAAAGGGACGGCUAACUACGUG